Molecule: non-coding RNA, 23 nt
Filed under: Cricetulus griseus (Chinese hamster)
Lineage: Eukaryota; Metazoa; Chordata; Mammalia; Rodentia; Cricetidae
Source: RNAcentral
UCUGUAAACUGUGGGUCCCAAGA